AAAGUCGUAACAAGGUCUCCGUUGGUGAACCAGCGGAGGGAUCAUUACAGAGUCUCCCGACUCCCAAACCACUGUGAACAUACCGCUACGAUAUGCUCCGGCGGGCCGCCCCAGGGGGGGCCCCAGGCCGCAAGGCGCCCGCCGGAGCCAGGAAACCAGUCUCUUGCAGCAGUCUUCUGAGUCUACUAUAUAAAGUGUCACAACUUUCAACAAUGGAUCUCUUGGCUCCG
Molecule: unclassified non-coding RNA, 230 nt
Filed under: Ascomycota sp.
Lineage: Eukaryota; Fungi; Ascomycota
Also listed under: 1 other name
Description: partial contains small subunit ribosomal RNA, internal transcribed spacer 1, and 5.8S ribosomal RNA
Rfam family: Eukaryotic small subunit ribosomal RNA (bases 1-47)
Source: RNAcentral